UGUCGGAAACUAUAUUUAGCUUUUUUAUUAUCGCGUGGGACAUGCGAGUAUACUCGCGGACAGUCGGACAGCUCCGGAAUAUACCGUUGAGAAUGUUUACAUAGCGAGAGAUUCGGGAAAGAACACAGCGAAGCAUGAGAUUUUUGUCAAUAAAACUAUAGAAAUACACAGUGUUUGUAAUUUUAAUUUAUGUUGGGAAUCAACGGGAGGCAAUUCUCAACAACUGGCACCUCCGUGAUGGGAUUUGUGAGAUUUUAAGCUCGAACAAGAGCAAGAACCUAGCAUAUUUAUCAAGUGACAAAUCGAAACUAAACGACAGCGUACAAACUACAGUGAUAUACGGCCGCUAUUUAUCGAGUGAUGAAGUGAAAGAAAAGCAUGGAGACAAAACUACAAGAGCUUGAUGGGAAACUACGAACAUUAAAAUUUACGUUGGGUAAAAGCGAACAAGAAAUCGAAACGAGAAACCUCGAUGUGAUAACUAGACACGAAGCGUCAAUCAAAGGUAAAAUCGAAGCGAGUCACGCCUUAAAAGAUGACAUUAUAGAAUUGAAAUUCGGUCAGAAACAAACUGAAGAGCAAGUGCAAGAAUGGCUUGUCGACAUUGAAGGAACUUUGAAAACGGCCGACGAGAAAUUGUUAGAAUUAAAACGAAUAAAAGAAAAUAUAGCGAAGGAAAACCAGGCCGUUGAAUUGGCCGAAUCAGUUAAACAAGAGAGGGCAAUCGAGGACGAAAAGCACGAACAAAAAAUGAGUCACGAACGUGAACUUUAUGAACAACAGCUAAAGUUUCAGAAGGUGUUAGCAACGGGACAGCAAAACCAAGUAAAGAAAGCGGCGUCGACAAAAUUACCGAAGCUAUCUAUUACGCAGUUCGAUGGGAAAUGUGCGAAUUGGCCACCCUUUUGGAACAAAUUUGUUGCUGAAAUUGACGGUGCCGAUUUGUCGCCUGUUACGAAGUUUACCUAUUUGAAAGAGUUUGUUAAGCCGAAGGUGAGAGCUGAUAUCGAUGGGUUGCCUCUAACCGUAGAGGGGUAUGAAAGGGCAAAAAAUAUUUUAAAAGGAGAGUACGGCAAACCGAGCGAAAUUGUCAAUGCCUAUGUCCAGAACAUUCUCGAGUUACCAGUGGUAAAAAGUACUGAUCCAGGUGAGAUAAACAAUUUCUAUAAAAUUCUGCUUUUUAAUGUACAAUCACUUGAAACAAUGGGAAAAGUUGAGCGUGUGAAUGGAAUGACACGAAGUGUGCUUGACAAAUUGCCAGGGAUAAAGAGUGACCUAGUGAGAGGACAAGGGAAUUGGCAAGAAUGGGAUUUAGCACAUCUUAGAGCUUUAAAACAAUGGAGGGACAUAAACCUUAGUGAUAAAGAGAUUGUCAAGGACGGUGACAAAGAGAGACGAAAGGGGAGUAGACGAGAAAGUCUAUUUAAUGCCAAUGCCCGUAAACGCCCUUGUGUGUAUUGUGAUGACGUCAGCCAUGGUUCACGAGAGUGUACACGCGUGGUGAGUGUGGAUGACAAGAAGGGGAUUCUAGCCAGGAAGAAAUUGUGUUUUAAUUGUACGGGCCCAAAACACCGAGCUAAUGAGUGUCGAAGUACAACUGUUUGUCAGAAGUGCAACCUAAAGCACCACACUUCGAUAUGCACUGUGAAGGAAAGUCUUAAGGUAGCGACAGGGGGGAGUGCAAGUCAAGUGGUAUACCCAGUCGUCGACGUAAGCGUUGAGGGUGUGAUAUGUCGAGCACUACUUGAUACAGGAGCAGGAAGCUCUUAUGCUUCUGCUGCUCUCUUGGACAAACUUCCAAGACGAUCUCAAUCCAAAGAAGUUCGACAAAUAGAAAUGAUGUUGGGUUCGACUAUUCGUGAAGUGUCUAUUUCUACCAUCAGCGUGGGAGCUACUGACAACAGUUUUAAGAUGGAUGUUGAAGUGACAAGAGUCGAACGCGGAAACCUACUAAUGAUCGCCAAUCCAAAUUACCAAACUCUGGUUGAUUCGUAUCGUCAUCUCGAGGGAGUAAGUAUGGAGGACAACGAUACUAAACCCCUUCUACCAGUACAUCUCUUCCUGGGCGCAAGCGCGUACGCAGCUAUCAAGACAGCAGAACCACCCCGUGUUGGUCUUCCAGGGGAACCGGUAGCGGAGAAGACCAGGUUCGGAUGGACAAUGAUGUCUCCGGGUAAGGAAUUCGACCACUCAAAGAUGCUUCUGACACAGACAAGCCAGUCAGAUUACGAGGACUUAUGUAGAUUGGACGUAUUGGGGCUGGAGGACAAGCCUGAACAUGAUCAAUAUGCGGUCCAUGCAGAAUUUCGUGAGCAGUUAGUACGACAUCAGGAAGGGUGGUACGAGACAGGUUUACUUUGGAAAGGGAGCCACCCCCCUCUACCAAAUAAUAAAACAGGCAGUUUACGGCGACUAACGCAACUCCAUAACAAGCUACAACGGAUGGAAAUGACGGAGAAGUAUGCAGAGGUGAUCAAUCAACAAAAGUCAGAGGGGAUAGUGGAGUCUGCAACCGAACCACCAACCGGGAAAGAAUUUUACAUACCCCACAAACCUGUUAUGAGAACACAAGCUGAAUCAACCAAACUACGCGUUGUUUACGAUGCUUCAGCUCGAGAAAACACACAAGAACCAAGCCUUAAUGAUUGUCUUUAUGCAGGACCUCCGCUUCAAAAUCGGUUGUGGAACGUGUUGGUACGCAUUCGUUUUCACCCAGUUGCAGUGACCGGGGACAUUAAACAGGCUUUUUUACAAGUCCGUAUCAGGAAAGCAGAGAGAGACUCACUCAGAUUCCAUUGGAAGUCCAAUAAACAGUCAUUAGUCGAAACAUUGAGAUUCACGCGAGCGCUAUUUGGUCUAGUGUGUUCGCCGUUCCUUCUCGGCGGUGUCGUCGAACGUCACCUGGAAUCGUGGAAAGAACGUGAACCAGAGUUGGUCGCUGAAAUCCGUAGAAGCCUUUAUGUUGACGACCUACUGAGUGGUAAGCCAACCGUAGCAGAAGCAAAGGAUUUGAAGGAAGGAGCUAUUAAGAUUUUUCAAGAUGCCAAGUUCACAUUACACAAAUGGCAUUCAAAUGAUCCUGAGUUGGAAAGCGAACAGUCCAGCGUGGAGACGGAGAAUACCUUUGCCAAACAGCAACUUGGUGCACCAACCGAUCCGGAGUCAAGUCUUCUCGGCCUGUCCUGGAACAAGGAAGCUGAUGAGUUCAGUGUUGUGGUCCCCGAUAUGAAACCGAACGUGACUAAGAGAGAACUUUUGAGCAAUCUAGCAAGCAUUUAUGAUCCCUUGGGCCUUGUAGCACCUGUGACACUCAAGGGAAAGACAAUCUACCGAGAAACGUGCAAGGCAAAAACAGCAUGGGAUGCAUCACUUCCAGAACCACAAGCAGCAGAAUAUGGUCGAUGGGUAAGGGAACUGCCUAGACGUGUAACUGUACCGAGAGUCUUGACAACUCAGCGCGAAGCUGUAGAAGAAAUUGAGCUGCACACAUUCGGGGAUGCAAGUGGGAAAGGAGUUUGUGCAGCCCUUUAUGCAAUUGUGAAACAAGGUGAUGAAACCAACGUGGGUUUAGUCGCUGCCAGAGCAAGAUUAGCUAAACAGGACUUGAGCAUACCUCGCCUAGAACUUGUUUCCGCCCAUAUGGCAGCAAAUCUGAUGAUAAAUGUUCAACAAGCGCUUGAUGGAAUGCCUGUUACGGGAACCUACGGAUGGCUAGACAGCACGGUAGCGCUGCAAUGGUUAAAAGGGGGAGGAGAAUAUAAACAAUUUGUGGCCAAUCGGGUGAGAAAGAUUCAAGCUUGCCCAGAUAUAAUUUGGCGUCAUGUCCCAAGUCAAGACAACCCUGCUGACCUGGGAAGUCGGGGAGGACAGGUGACUGGAAAUCUACUGUGGUGGAAAGGACCUCCGUGGUUGACCAAUCAGAGCGAGUGGCCAAGAGAUAUAGUAACGACUGCAACCCAUGAAAGCGAAGCCGAAGCCAAAGCGACAAGAGCAGUGUUCAAGUUAGCUGUAGAACCAACCAACCCACCUGAUGAAAUCUUGACAAAGUUUUCCCUCAACAAAGCUGUAAGAGUAAACGCAUGGAUUUCUCGAUUUGUGUAUAAUUGUCGAGCGAAAGCAACUAAGAAAGAGACACGGUCGGGACCGUUGACAACGCAAGAGAUAAACGACCAACACAGCGCUUAUGUAAAACAAGCCCAAGCAAUUCUAGACGACAAAGUGAGCGACGAUAAGCAACGCCUGGGUGUACAAAUGAAUGAAGAUGGUAUGCUCGUGUGCAAAGGUCGGUUGCAAGGUCAAUACCCCGUAUUUUUACCGGACAGUCAUCUUUACACCACUAAACUCGUAGAAGAUGCGCAUCAACGCACGUUACACGGGGGAGUCGGGCUCACUAUGGCCAAGAUUAGAGAGAACGUUUGGGUGCCAAGGCUAAGACAACUUGUAAAGAAGACCGUAAAGGGAUGCCACGGGUGUCGACGAUUUCAUGCUAAGCCAGUUAGUAAACCACCUCCAGGAAACUUGCCCGUAGACCGAACAGAAGGUGAUCGUCCGUUUCAGGUCGUAGGCGUCGAUUUCGCCGGCCCCAUCAAGUAUCGCGUCACCAAAAAGACGGAAGGAAAGGCGUAUAUAACCCUCUACGCAUGUAGUCUAACGCGAGCCCUCUACCUAGAGUUAACCACGAGCAUGGAAACCGAUGAAUUUAUCCCUACCCUCAAGCGGUCACCGCAAGGUUACGCAUCCAAGAGCAAGCGAACGAUGAUGAAAUUUGAACAAGAAAUUGAACAUAGUAUAUCCUUUUGAGACGUUAAAGUUUAUAUCUAAUAGAUGACAUUUAGUAGACCUUACAUUAGUAACAUUGAGAUUAUUUAAGUUUCCUUUCAGUACAUAUACCUUCAAAAAGCUAUAUGGGGGGAGAGUGUCAGAAACUAUAUUUAGCUUUUUUAUUAUCGCGUGGGACAUGCGAGUAUACUCGCGGACAGUCGGACAGCUCCGGAAUAUACCGUUGAGAAUGUUUACAUAUCGAGGGAUUCGGGAAAGAACACAGCGAAGCAUGAGAUUUUUGUCAAUAAAACUAUAGAAAUACCCAGUGUUUGUAAUUUUAAUUUAUGUUGGGAAUCAACGGGAGGCAAUUCUCAACAUAC
This 5141-nucleotide long non-coding RNA is filed under the name Paramuricea clavata. The record is from RNAcentral. Lineage: Eukaryota; Metazoa; Cnidaria; Anthozoa; Malacalcyonacea; Plexauridae.